Molecule: ribosomal RNA, 447 nt
Filed under: uncultured bacterium
Lineage: Bacteria
Description: bacterial SSU rRNA
Rfam family: Bacterial small subunit ribosomal RNA
Source: RNAcentral
ACCAGACUCCUACGGGAGGCAGCAGUGGGGAAUAUUGCACAAUGGGGGAAACCCUGAUGCAGCAACGCCGCGUGAGUGAAGAAGUAUUUCGGUAUGUAAAGCUCUCUCAGCAGGGAAGAAAAUGACGGUACCUGAGUAAGAAGCCCCGGCUAACUACGUGCCAGCAGCCGCGGUAGUACGUAGGGGGCAAGCGUUAUCCGGAUUUACUGGGUGUAAAGGGAGCGUAGACGGCGAUACAAGUCUGAAGUGAAAGCCCGGGGCUCAACCCCGGGACUGCUUUGGAAACUGUGUUGCUGGAGUGCUGGAGAGGCAAGCGGAAUUUCUAGUGUAGCGGUGAAAUGCGUAGAUAUUAGGAGGAACACCAGUGGCGAAGGCGGCUUACUGGACUGUAACUGACGUUGAGGCUCGAAAGCGUGGGGAGCAAACAGGAUUAGAUACCCCGGUAAG